This is a long non-coding RNA of Solanum tuberosum (potato), 845 nucleotides long. RefSeq lists it as uncharacterized. The transcript is spliced from 3 exons. NCBI's taxonomy places the organism in Eukaryota, Viridiplantae, Streptophyta, Magnoliopsida, Solanales, Solanaceae. The record is from RefSeq and is a predicted model, not a curated record.
UGAAGAUGACCUGCUUUGCAGAUGUGCUUCUCCUUCUCCUUGCUGCUGUUGUCCAGUGGGUUUGGGAUUCAUCUGAGUUCCCUUAACAAAAGCGUUGGUGCAUUCAAGCUUUUAGGAUAUAUCUCUGGUCCUGAUGUUUACACAGUGAAGACAGUGAAGAUUUGAAGGUUUUCAUCCAUCGAUGUUCAAUCAAACAUGUUACCUGUUGAGCUAAAGAACUGUUGAUUGGCACGGUGAUUCAGCCAUGCUGGGUUUCAAACCAUUUAUGCGGGAGCUUUUCUAUUGCACAGAAGCCUGAUUUAUGAUGGAUCAUCUUUUGAUAGUGAUGAAGAUAUUAAGUUUGAAAAAAGUAACUGCAGAAAUAAACAAAAUGGCCUUGAAGAUGAUUUAGAGUGUUGAAUUUGAAGUAGCAGCAACCAUGUCUUAAAUCAUAGGUCUCCUAGAGGCAUGGAAAUGGAAAUAUAUUUUGAGAAACAUCUCCAGGUGUAAAACUCAGAGCAUGCAAGGUUAAAAAAUUUAUCAGGUCAGAAAAAUCUUAUGGAUUCUGUUAAACAGACAGAAAAUUAUGGUAUCUUUUAGUCCAGUCUCCUCUGCCACCAGAUCCUUUGCUCGGGACCAGGUUUCAAGAUGUUAAUCCUUACUUGGGAUUGAAACUUCUCUUAAACAUGAAGUUGUCAGUAUAAGUUUUGAAACGUGGAACAUAAUCUCUUGUACCCAAAUCCUGCAUAGUUUGAUGUAAUUGUUAAUGCUCUUUUUAGAGAGGAUAUGAUGAUAGUUCAGGUACUUUUGAAUUCUAUAAUCUUAAGAAUUACGUGAUCCAUACUUUUGAAUUCCUAAUAAAAAUA